Molecule: small RNA, 28 nt
Filed under: Bombyx mori (domestic silkworm)
Lineage: Eukaryota; Metazoa; Arthropoda; Insecta; Lepidoptera; Bombycidae
Description: ovarian small RNA-8193
Source: RNAcentral
UGACUUCUGCCAUUUUGACGGGCCUGUC